This is a non-coding RNA of Aegilops tauschii subsp. strangulata, 2175 nucleotides long. Lineage: Eukaryota; Viridiplantae; Streptophyta; Magnoliopsida; Poales; Poaceae. The record is from RefSeq and is a predicted model, not a curated record.
AACAAAAAAGUCCACGCCCACGCCUGCUCGUCCACCACUUCCUCGGUCCCCAACCUCCCCCCGGUCCAGCGUCGUCGAGGUCUCGACCCCCGCCACAACCGCCGCGCCGCCGGCCCAGCUUCCGACGCGCCGCCGUACCGGCUUCUCACCACCUCCCCUCGAUGCGCCGCUCCGCCUCCACCAAGAUCCUAUCGUAGCCCCACCUCCAACAGCCCCGCCGACGACCGGAUCCCUGCUUCCCGACGAGCUCCGGUGCCACCUCAACGAAGGUCACGGCCUUCAACCCGCUCCCAGCGCGCUACCGCCACCGAAACCUUCGGCCACCAUGGGCACCGCCGUCGCGCCCUGCCUUCUUCCUGCCACCGCGCCUCCACAUCGCCUCCACCCCGCCGCCGCCGGGGAACAGGGCGGUCGCCAACCGCACCUGGAUCUGGGCGCGUGCCCCUAGCUUCUUGCCUCGCCCGUGCCAUGCAGGCCUCCCCCGCCGUUGCCCGAAGUUCAAAUGUCAUAGCAGCGGACGGACGGAUUCGACACGCCGUCGUUGGAUAUUCUCUGUUGUCGCUAGAUCGGUCGCCGGUGCAUCACCUCGGUCAAGCUCUUCUCUACCUCAUGUGCGUCCAUGGGGCUCGCUCCCAGAACUUGGCCAUUUUUGGACGAGGAAUCAAGCGCGCCCUUGCUGCUCUGUUUGGAUCUACUCGGUUGCUGGUGUUUGCUUCGAGGCUACUCACACCCGAGCUCCCACUAGCCACCCAAUCUCAUUCCCCGCAGCGGAUGUCGCCGACCUCGGCUAGUGGUUGCCGGAUUUUGUGUUUCUUCUGUACAAAACUGAUGCAUUUCUUCUCUCGUUUCCGCAGGUUUGUUAACUGAACUUUACCAUCUCGACUGAUUGAACUGCACAUAACUUAACUGUCUAGGCUGCAAGGGUGUCACGCGGAGGUGGCUCGAGCCGGCGGGAGAUGCAGCAGUUCGACGCAGCCCCUCCACGCCGUUCAACUCCUGUAGCCAGCUGGCUCAAAGCCAACAGUGAGCUCCUACUUCGACUCACUACGCACGUAGCUUUUGGGCAUGUGUCGAUGUGUGGCUGAAGCUCUUUCUUUCUCUCCACAGUCUCAUGUGCUGAUGCUACCCUCUCAGUCUCUCUUAUCUCAGUUUGGCACACCCAUGUUUUUUGUCACUCUUAAAAUUGGAAGUAGAGACGCUUAACCAGAAAGCCAAUCUUUAUGUAUUCUGAAUGUGAACCGGGUGCACUCUAUGUGUUUGCUAUUAUGCGUGCUACAACUGAAGCAUUUUUGUGCUUAGCUCUUUUUUUGUUCUGAUGAAGCAAGUACUAGUUGCUCCUGCCAUGCUACCUUUGGUCGAGAGCACAUAGCUCAGUAGACAGAGCUUGACAAGAUAGAAAUGCAACAUGUGGUGCAGAGAAGGCCACAUCUCUCACGUGGCACACAUUUUCUUUUUUCUUUUUGUGUGUAGAAAGGGUGUUUAGGCAUACCACCACAUUUAGGGAUCCAUUUUCAGUCUCCCCCACCAUGCUCCUGCAGGUCAACUGCGCCGCCACACGAAGUUCACCGGCCAUAGCUGCGGACGGACGAAAUUCCAACUCUACCGCAACCCCUCAAGAUCCACGGUGGCCAAAGAUGGCGCUCCACAGCUGUUCGGUGUAAUGCCUAAGGAUCAAACAAUGUCUCUCUCACUUUUGUUUUUGGAAAGACCUGCCUAUCAUCUUGCCGCUGCUGCGUUGGAGUGGCUCCAUCUGCAGAUGGGGGAGGUCUCGACCUGCAGCUGGGAGAAAUCUCGACCCGCACCUGGUCGCGCGCGCCACUGCCACUUAGGUCGACCACCUACAGCAGGCGCCGCAGCGCCUCAACCGUUAAACUAUGGCACCUCAGCAGUUCAAUGUAUAUUGGAGAAGAAGAAAAAACAACAGUAGGUUCAAAUGUUGUGUUUUGUGAUUGUUGUAGACUUGCAGCAAAUUAGAGGUGGUUUCAAAGAAAAAAUUGUUCCCUCUGAUGGAGCACCUGGCCGUUCCCUUUGCUUUGUUUUGUUUUGCAAAUUGCUAGUUGGCCGUAUAGCUUCAGUAGUGGUAUAAUGCUUUAGGUUCCUGACUAUUGGUCUUGAUGUUUGUCCGUACUUGAGGUUCAGCUCGCUAAUAUAUACGGGAGCAGUUUGGAUUUGGUA